UACGGAGGGUGCAAGCGUUAUCCGGAUUUACUGGGUUUAAAGGGUGCGUAGGUGGGUCUGUAAGUCAGUGGUGAAAUCUCCGAGCUUAACUCGGAAACUGCCAUUGAUACUAUAGGUCUUGAAUUAUCUGGAGGUAAGCGGAAUAUGUCAUGUAGCGGUGAAAUGCUUAGAUAUGACAUAGAACACCAAUUGCGAAGGCAGCUGGCUACACGGUAAUUGACACUGAGGCACGAAAGCGUGGGGAGCAAACAGG
Molecule: ribosomal RNA, 253 nt
Filed under: uncultured bacterium
Lineage: Bacteria
Description: partial 16S ribosomal RNA
Rfam family: Bacterial small subunit ribosomal RNA
Source: RNAcentral